Molecule: ribosomal RNA, 328 nt
Filed under: uncultured bacterium
Lineage: Bacteria
Description: bacterial SSU rRNA
Rfam family: Bacterial small subunit ribosomal RNA
Source: RNAcentral
GAUAACGGAGCGAAAGCUUUGCUAAUACCGCAUACGAUCUACGGAUGAAAGCAGGGGACCGCAAGGCCUUGCGCUCAUGGAGCGGCCGAUGGCAGAUUAGGUAGUUGGUGGGAUAAAGCUUACCAGCGACGAUCUGUAGCUGGUCUGAGAGGGUGACCGGCCACAUUGGGACUGAGACACGGCCCAAACUCCUACGGGAGGCAGCAGUGGGGAAUAUUGCACAAUGGGGGAAACCCUGAUGCAGCGACGCCGCGUGAGCGAAGAAGUAUUUCGGUAUGUAAAGCUCUAUCAGCAGGGAAGAAGGAUAGAGGUAGUAACUGGCCUUUAU